UGUGUAGGCGGGCUAGUAAGUCAGUGGUGAAAUCUCCGGGCUCAACCCGGAAACUGCCAUUGAUACUAUUAGUCUUGAAUUUUGUUGAGGUUGGCGGAAUAAGUCAUGUAGCGGUGAAAUGCAUAGAUAUGACUUAGAACACCGAUUGCGAAGGCAGCUAACUAAGCAAAUAUUGACGCUGAGGCACGAAAGCGUGGGGAUCAAACAGGAUUAGAUACCCUGGUAGUCCACGCCCUAAACGAUGAUUACUCGACAUACGCGAUACACAGUGUGUGUCUGAGCGAAAGCAUUAAGUAAUCCACCUGGGAAGUACGUCCGCAAGGAUGAA
RNAcentral lists this ribosomal RNA (328 nucleotides) under uncultured bacterium. RNAcentral's name for it is "bacterial SSU rRNA". It matches the Rfam family "Bacterial small subunit ribosomal RNA", at positions 568 to 898 of the family's 1533-position model. The record is from RNAcentral.